RNAcentral lists this ribosomal RNA (644 nucleotides) under Linnemannia elongata. RNAcentral describes it as "eukaryotic LSU rRNA". The stretch from base 177 to 330 matches the Rfam family "5.8S ribosomal RNA". The record is from RNAcentral. Lineage: Eukaryota; Fungi; Mortierellomycota; Mortierellomycetes; Mortierellales; Mortierellaceae.
UCCGUAGGUGAACCUGCGGAAGGAUCAUUCAUAAUAAGUGUUUUAUGGCACUUUUUAAAUCCAUAUCCACCUUGUGUGCAAUGUCAGUCGAUCUUCUUCAUGGAGAUCGGCCAAACAUCAACCUUAUCUUUUAACUUUUUGUCUGAAAAAUGUUAUGAAUAAACAAUUCAAAAUACAACUUUCAACAACGGAUCUCUUGGCUCUCGCAUCGAUGAAGAACGCAGCGAAAUGCGAUACGUAAUGUGAAUUGCAGAAUUCAGUGAAUCAUCGAAUCUUUGAACGCAUAUUGCGCUCUUUGGUAUUCCGAAGAGCAUGCUUGUUUGAGUAUCAGUAAACACCUCAAAGCUUUUGGAUUUUUUUUUUUGAAAGCUUUGGACUUGAGCAAUCCCAACACCAAUCUUUUUCAGAUCGGCGGCGGGUUGCUUGAAAUGCAGGUGCAGCUGGACUUUCUCCUGAGCUAAAAGCAUAUUCAUUUAGUCCCGUCAAACGGAUUAUUACUUUUGCUGCAGCUAACAUAAAGGGAGUUUGACCGCAUUGGCUGACUGAUGCAGGAUUUCACAAGGGUCGGCAACGAUUCUUGUUAAACUCGAUCUCAAAUCAAGUAAGACUACCCGCUGAACUUAAGCAUAUCAAUAAGCGGAGGA